Molecule: ribosomal RNA, 423 nt
Filed under: uncultured bacterium
Lineage: Bacteria
Description: bacterial SSU rRNA
Rfam family: Bacterial small subunit ribosomal RNA
Source: RNAcentral
AUUUUGCGCAAUGGGCGAAAGCCUGACGCAGCAACGCCGCGUGUGUGAUGAAGGUCUUCGGAUUGUAAAGCACUUUCGACCGGGAAGAAAACCCCAGGGAGCCAUACCCCUGGGUUUGACGGUACCGGGAGAAGAAGCACCGGCUAACUCUGUGCCAGCAGCCGCGGUAAUACAGAGGGUGCAAGCGUUGUUCGGAAUUAUUGGGCGUAAAGCGCGUGUAGGCGGCUUUGCAAGUCGGGUGUGAAAGCCCUCAGCUUAACUGAGGAAGUGCGCCCGAAACUGCAGAGCUUGAAUACCGGAGAGGAUGGCGGAAUUCCCCAAGUAGAGGUGAAAUUCGUAGAUAUGGGGAGGAACACCGGUGGCGAAGGCGGCCAUCUGGACGGCUAUUGACGCUGAGACGCGAAAGCGUGGGGAGCAAACAGG